GGAAGGGGUGUAUUUAUUAGAUUAAAAACCCAAUGCCCUUCGGGGCUCACUGGUGAUUCAUAAUAACUUCUCGANUCGCAUGGCCUUGUGCCGGCGAUGGUUCAUUCAAAUUUCUGCCCUAUCAACUUUCGACGGCUGGNUCUUGGCCAGCCGUGGUUACAACGGGUAACGGAGGGUUAGGGCUUGACCCCGGAGAAGGAGCCUGAGAAACGGCUACUACAUCCAAGGAAGGCAGCAGGCGCGCAAAUUACCCAAUCCCAAUACGGGGAGGUAGUGACAAUAAAUACUGAUACAGGGCUCUUUUGGGUCUUGUAAUUGGAAUGAGUACAAUUUAAAUCCCUUAACGAGGAACAAUUGGAGGGCAAGUCUGGUGCCAGCAGCCGCGGUAAUUCCAGCUCCAAUAGCGUAUAUUAAAGUUGUUGCAGUUAAAAAGCUCGUAGUUGAACCUUGGGCCUGGCUGGCCGGUCUGCCUCACCGCAUGCACUGGUCCGGCCGGGCCUUUCCCUCUGGGGAGCCGCAUGCCCUUCACUGGGUGUGUCGGGGAACCAGGACUUUUACUGUGAAAAAAUUAGAGUGUUCAAAGCAGGCAUAUGCUCGAAUACAUUAGCAUGGAAUAAUAGAAUAGGACGUCGCGGUUCUAUUUUGUUGGUUUCUAGGACCGCCGUAAUGAUUAAUAGGGACAGUCGGGGGCAUCAGUAUUCAAUCGUCAGAGGUGAAAUUCUUGGAUCGAUUGAAGACUAACUACUGCGAAAGCAUUUGCCAAGGAUGUUUUCAUUAAUCAGGAACGAAAGUUAGGGGAUCGAAAACGAUCAGAUACCGUUGUAGUCUUAACCAUAAACUAUGCCGACUAGGGAUCGGGCGGUGUUAUUUCUUGACCCGCUCGGCA
RNAcentral lists this ribosomal RNA (886 nucleotides) under Diaporthe rudis. RNAcentral's name for it is "SSU rRNA". It matches the Rfam family "Eukaryotic small subunit ribosomal RNA", at positions 194 to 1085 of the family's 1831-position model. The record is from RNAcentral. Lineage: Eukaryota; Fungi; Ascomycota; Sordariomycetes; Diaporthales; Diaporthaceae.